AACGUAGGCGGUCCGCUAAGUCGGAUGUGAAAGCCCUCGGCUUAACCGAGGAAGUGCAUUCGAAACUGUCGGACUUGAGUAUGGUAGAGGGUCGCGGAAUUCCCGGUGUAGAGGUGAAAUUCGUAGAUAUCGGGAGGAACACCAGUGGCGAAGGCGGCGACCUGGGCCAAUACUGACGCUGAGGUUCGAAAGCGUGGGGAGCAAACA
Molecule: ribosomal RNA, 207 nt
Filed under: uncultured delta proteobacterium
Lineage: Bacteria; Deltaproteobacteria
Description: partial 16S ribosomal RNA
Rfam family: Bacterial small subunit ribosomal RNA
Source: RNAcentral